This 973-nucleotide long non-coding RNA is filed under the name Capsicum annuum. Its description in RNAcentral is "long non-coding RNA (CANN_LNC010537)". Lineage: Eukaryota; Viridiplantae; Streptophyta; Magnoliopsida; Solanales; Solanaceae. The record is from RNAcentral.
UUCAAACUCCAAAAUCAAAUUUAAAUACAAAACCUUCAAUAUUCUAAGAUUCACUCUAACCACACAAUUACAUCAUCAUAAUUGAAUAUCCAAGACAAAUGCAAUGAAAUCAAAGAAUGUCAUUAGGAUUAUAUUAUCAUCACGUGAUCUCCUUGCAUCCAUGGGCGAAAUGGGUUCAUUAGCCGCAUCACUUGGCUACAUAAAAAUGCAAAGUAUAAAAAUCAAUCGAUAAACUUUCAGUCCUUAUUAUAAACAUGUUAUAGUGAACAUCAUGCUUGUAAAUAAAGGGAAAAUACCACAAUUGCUUGCAUUAUAUUGGAAAUUAAUACUCAUACAUAAGAUAAAAUACAACCAAAGCAUAUGGAUAUUAUUGGUGGUUGUAACAGUAAUAUAUACCCAGCUCUCUACUGUCAACAUACUUCCUUUUUAUUUUUGUAUAACCCUGGUGGUCUAAUUAGCUUGGCGCAUAUGGAUUAAUUUCAUGGAGUAUCUACUGCCUCCCACCAAUACAUGUACCGAAUAAUUUUAUUCACGUUAUACCCCUGGUAACAAGAGCUAUCACUAUUUCCCACUAAAAGGUAAAGAUUGACGCAGAAUAAAUAACCAAUCAAAUGAUGUAUUCAAUAUGUAAAAGUUGGAUAUGGCUCGAAGUUCAAGGGCACCAUUCAUUCAGAAGGUUACAUGUUUAGUUCCUUCCUGUGAAACUAUGAAGCUAGCAGGAAAUGACCUUAUGACUGUACAAUAAGUUAAUGAAACAUAACUUACACCAUUGCCCACCCGAAGCUGAUAAAAAAGAACGGGACUGAAUGAAACUCUACAACUCACAAAUUUGUGCUACACAUACAGUAUGUCAAAGCACUAGAAAUGCUUAGCUAUUAUCAGGAAAUGAUUUCGAUUGAAACCUGACUCUCAUAACAAUCCGGUACACUAUCUAUGUCACAUUAGAUAAAUAGAGAUAGUCAAGACAAAUUAA